RNAcentral lists this ribosomal RNA (253 nucleotides) under Ruminococcus callidus. Its description in RNAcentral is "partial 16S ribosomal RNA". It matches the Rfam family "Bacterial small subunit ribosomal RNA", at positions 524 to 776 of the family's 1533-position model. The record is from RNAcentral. Lineage: Bacteria; Bacillati; Bacillota; Clostridia; Eubacteriales; Oscillospiraceae.
UACGUAGGGUGCAAGCGUUGUCCGGAUUUACUGGGUGUAAAGGGUGCGUAGGCGGCUUUGCAAGUCAGAUGUGAAAUCUAUGGGCUCAACCCAUAGACUGCAUUUGAAACUGUUGUUCUUGAGUGAGGUAGAGGUAAGCGGAAUUCCUGGUGUAGCGGUGAAAUGCGUAGAGAUCAGGAGGAACAUCGGUGGCGAAGGCGGCUUACUGGGCCUUUACUGACGCUGAGGCUCGAAAGCGUGGGGAGCAAACAGG